Molecule: ribosomal RNA, 475 nt
Filed under: uncultured Bacteroidota bacterium
Lineage: Bacteria; Pseudomonadati; Bacteroidota
Description: bacterial SSU rRNA
Rfam family: Bacterial small subunit ribosomal RNA
Source: RNAcentral
AUGAGAGCGGCGCACGGGUGCGUAACGCGUAUGCAACCUACCUUUUACAGGGGGAUAGCCCGGAGAAAUCUGGAUUAAUACCCCAUGGCACUAUUGAUUGGCAUCAAGAGAUAGUUAAAGAUUUAUCGGUAAGAGAUGGGCAUGCGUCUGAUUAGCUAGUUGGCGGUGUAACGGACCACCAAGGCGACGAUCAGUAGGGGUUCUGAGAGGAAGGUCCCCCACACUGGCACUGAGAUACGGGCCAGACUCCUACGGGAAGCAGCAGUAGGGAAUAUUGGGCAAUGGUCGGAAGACUGACCCAGCCAUGCCGCGUGCAGGAAGACGGCCUAUUGGGUUGUAAACUGCUUUUAUCUGGGAAGAAAAAGUCCAUGCGUGGAAAAUUGCCGGUACCAGAUGAAUAAGCACCGGCUAACUCCGUGCCAGCAGCCGCGGUAAUACGGAGGGUGCAAGCGUUGUCCGGAUUUAUUGGGUUUAA